Molecule: ribosomal RNA, 1246 nt
Filed under: 'Vaccinium corymbosum' phytoplasma
Lineage: Bacteria; Bacillati; Mycoplasmatota; Mollicutes; Acholeplasmatales; Acholeplasmataceae
Description: bacterial SSU rRNA
Rfam family: Bacterial small subunit ribosomal RNA
Source: RNAcentral
GAAAACGACUGCUAAGACUGGAUAGGAGACAAGAAGGCAUCUUCUUGUUUUUAAAAGACCUAGCAAUAGGUAUGCUUAGGGAGGAGCUUGCGUCACAUUAGUUAGUUGGUGGGGUAAAGGCCUACCAAGACUAUGAUGUGUAGCCGGGCUGAGAGGUUGAACGGCCACAUUGGGACUGAGACACGGCCCAAACUCCUACGGGAGGCAGCAGUAGGGAAUUUUCGGCAAUGGAGGAAACUCUGACCGAGCAACGCCGCGUGAACGAUGAAGUAUUUCGGUACGUAAAGUUCUUUUAUUAGGGAAGAAUAAAUGAUGGAAAAAUCAUUCUGACGGUACCUAAUGAAUAAGCCCCGGCUAACUAUGUGCCAGCAGCCGCGGUAAUACAUAGGGGGCAAGCGUUAUCCGGAAUUAUUGGGCGUAAAGGGUGCGUAGGCGGUUAAAUAAGUUUAUGGUCUAAGUGCAAUGCUCAACAUUGUGAUGCUAUAAAAACUGUUUAGCUAGAGUAAGAUAGAGGCAAGUGGAAUUCCAUGUGUAGUGGUAAAAUGCGUAAAUAUAUGGAGGAACACCAGUAGCGAAGGCGGCUUGCUGGGUCUUUACUGACGCUGAGGCACGAAAGCGUGGGGAGCAAACAGGAUUAGAUACCCUGGUAGUCCACGCCGUAAACGAUGAGUACUAAACGUUGGGUAAAACCAGUGUUGAAGUUAACACAUUAAGUACUCCGCCUGAGUAGUACGUACGCAAGUAUGAAACUUAAAGGAAUUGACGGGACUCCGCACAAGCGGUGGAUCAUGUUGUUUAAUUCGAAGGUACCCGAAAAACCUCACCAGGUCUUGACAUGCUUCUGCAAAACUGUAGAAACACAGUGGAGGUUAUCAGUUGCACAGGUGGUGCAUGGUUGUCGUCAGCUCGUGUCGUGAGAUGUUGGGUUAAGUCCCGCAACGAGCGCAACCCUUAUUGUUAGUUACCAGCACGUAAUGGUGGGGACUUUAGCAAGACUGCCGGUGAUAAAUUGGAGGAAGGUGGGGACGACGUCAAAUCAUCAUGCCCCUUAUGACCUGGGCUACAAACGUGAUACAAUGGCUGUUACAAAGGGUAGCUGAAACGCAAGUUUUUGGCGAAUCUCAAAAAAACAGUCUCAGUUCGGAUUGAAGUCUGCAACUCGACUUCAUGAAGUUGGAAUCGCUAGUAAUCGCGAAUCAGCAUGUCGCGGUGAAUACGUUCUCGGGGUUUGUACACACCGCCCGUC